RNAcentral lists this ribosomal RNA (419 nucleotides) under bacterium. RNAcentral describes it as "partial 16S ribosomal RNA". It matches the Rfam family "Bacterial small subunit ribosomal RNA", at positions 355 to 776 of the family's 1533-position model. The record is from RNAcentral.
UGGGGGAUAUUGCACAAUGGGCGAAAGCCUGAUGCAGCGACGCCGCGUGGGGGAUGAAGGCCUUCGGGUUGUAAACUUCUUUUGCUCUGAACAAGGCGCACCAUGGGGUGUGUUGAGUGUAGGGGUUGAUUAGCGCCGGCUAACUACGUGCCAGCAGCCGCGGUAAUACGUAGGGCGCGAGCGUUGUCCGGAAUUAUUGGGCGUAAAGGGCUUGUAGGUGGCUGGUUGCGUCUGUCGUGAAAGCUCAUGGCUUAACUGUGGGUUUGCGGUGGGUACGGGCUGGCUUGAGUGCAGUAGGGGAGGCUGGAAUUCCUGGUGUAGCGGUGGAAUGCGCAGAUAUCAGGAGGAAUAACGGUGGCGAAGACGGGUCUCUGGGCUGUUACUGACACUGAGGAGCGAAAGCAUGGGGAGCGAACAGG